CGGUUGCAGAGAGAGAGAGUAAUAAUAAUGCAAAGAAUCGGGAAUGUUCAAAAACUCUUUCUCUUGACUGCAAAAAUGUUAGACCAUAAUUUAAUUUAGUUGAAAUUAAAAGCGAAAAGAAAAACGAAAAAAACAAAUUUCUCUAAAGAAUCACAAUCUCAUCACCUUCUUCUUCCUCCUCUGUUUUCUCUCUCUAAAUCCAUGGAUCCUUCUCUGCCUCCUCCGUUCACUGCUUUUCCUCCCUUCACCAACUCCAACCCUUUCCCCCCUCCCCAACACCCCGUCUACGGCGGCGCCGUUAACUCCUCGGCCGUCGCGUAGACUAACAACAACCAGUUCUUUCAACCAUCGCAACCAGUUCUUUCAACCAUCGCCGCCAGUUCCUUCUCAUCCAUCUGUUAACCACCCUCAUUACUUCGAAGUUUCGGACGCCCUUUCUCACGAAGAAAAUUCUUCCCUACCAAGGGGUGGUCGCCUGGGUGAAAUAUGUUACAAGUCUUCUCUCUUCAAUUAUUAAAACUAUAUCUGGUUUCAAUCUCUUAUAUCUUCAAUUAUUAAAACUGUAUCCGGUUUCAAUUCAUAGUUUACGUUUCCCCUUCGAUAGAAAUAAAACUCUUUUUUUUAGUCAUAAGCGCCGGUAGCGGGUAAGAUAUACAUAAUACAAAUGUGUCAUCUCGAUGACAGAAUUGGCAAGUCAUCACAUAAAUUACUUGGUUCGCCAAUUAUUACAAAAAUGCACACAUCUGCAAUUUCCACCCACAUUUUGUAUAUUGACCUUAAUAGACCAAUAAUAUUUUAUGGAAAUUAUUGUAUAUGCACAAAAAUUGAUGGAUUUAGAA
This is a long non-coding RNA of Brassica oleracea var. oleracea, 839 nucleotides long. RefSeq lists it as uncharacterized. The transcript is spliced from 2 exons. NCBI's taxonomy places the organism in Eukaryota, Viridiplantae, Streptophyta, Magnoliopsida, Brassicales, Brassicaceae. The record is from RefSeq and is a predicted model, not a curated record.